This 253-nucleotide ribosomal RNA is filed under the name uncultured bacterium. Its description in RNAcentral is "partial 16S ribosomal RNA". It matches the Rfam family "Bacterial small subunit ribosomal RNA", at positions 524 to 776 of the family's 1533-position model. The record is from RNAcentral.
UACGUAGGGGGCAAGCGUUGUCCGGAUUUAUUGGGCGUAAAGAGCGUGUAGGCGGCUUUACAGGUCCGUUGUGAAAACUCGAGGCUCAACCUCGAGACGCCGGUGGAAACCGUAAGGCUAGAGUCCGGAAGAGGAGAGUGGAAUUCCUGGUGUAGCGGUGAAAUGCGCAGAUAUCAGGAGGAACACCAAUAGCGAAGGCAGCGCGCUGGGACGGUACUGACGCUAAGGCGCGAAAGCGUGGGGAGCGAACAGG